UCAAGUUAUUAAGGGUGUAGGGCGGAUGCCUUGGCACUAGGAGCCGAUGAAAGACGUGAUAAGCUGCGAUAAGCUUCGGGGAGUGGCACAUACACUUUGAUCCGGAGAUUUCUGAAUGAGGAAACUCACUUGGAGUAAUGUCCAAGUAUCCAUAGGUGAAUACAUAGCCUAUGGAGGGGAACUCAGGGAACUGAAACAUCUAAGUACCUGAAGGAAGAGAAAGAAAUUCGAUUCCGCUAGUAGCGGCGAGCGAACGCGGAAGAGCCCAAACCAAGUCAGUUUACUGAUUUGGGGUUGCGGACAUAUCUUAAGGAAAGGUUAUUGCGAGUAGAAUAGGUCUGGAAAGAUCAACCACAGAGGGUAAAAGUCCCGUAUACAAAGCCAAGAAAGUUCUUGAUAUGAUCCAGAGUACCACGAGACACGUGAAACCUUGUGGGAAGCAGGGGGGACCACCCCCCAAGGCUAAAUACUACCUAGUGACCGAUAGCGAAUAGUACCGUGAGGGAAAGGUGAAAAGAACCCCGGGAGGGGAGUGAAAUAGAACCUGAAACCCUACACUUACAAGCUGUGGGAGCGCAUUAUUCGCGUGACCGCGUACUUUUUGUAGAACGGGCCAACGAGUUACGUUAUGUGGCAAGGUUAAGCACUUAAGGUGUGGAGCCGAAGCGAAAGCGAGUCUUAACUGGGCGCCAUAGUCACAUGACGUAGACCCGAAACCGGGCGACCUACCCAUGAGCAGGAUGAAGCGAAAGUAAAAUUUCGUGGAGGUCCGAACCCACGUACGUUGAAAAGUGCGGGGAUGACUUGUGGGUAGCGGUGAAAUUCCAAUCGAGCUCGGAGAUAGCUGGUUCUCCCCGAAAUAGCUUUAGGGCUAGCCUUGAAAUUUAGAGAUGUGGAGGUAGAGCACUGAAUGUCCUAGGGGGUAUUGCACUUACCGAAGACUAUCAAACUCCGAAUGCCAUUAUCUUUUGUUCAGGAGUCAGACUAUGGGUGAUAAGGUUCAUAGUCGAAAGGGAAAGAGCCCAGACCGUCAGCUAAGGUCCCUAAAUGUAUGUUAAGUGGUAAAGGAUGUGAGAUUGCACAGACAACCAGGAUGUUGGCUUAGAAGCAGCCACUCAUUUAAAGAGUGCGUAAUAGCUCACUGGUCGAGUGAUCCUGCGCCGAAGAUUUCCGGGGCUAAAACAUACUACCGAAGCUACGGCAUCAUAUGAUGAUGGGUAGGGGAGCUUCCCAUGCAGGCUGAAGCGAUACCGUAAGGAGUCGUGGACAGUAUGGGAGAGAGAAUGUUGGCAUGAGUAGCGAGAUGAGGGUGAGAAUCCCUCAGGCCGUAAACCCAAGGUUUCCAGGGGAAGGUUCGUCCUCCCUGGGUUAGUCGGGACCUAAGCUCAGGCCGAAAGGCGUAGGCGAUGGACAACAGGUUGAGAUUCCUGUACUACCGAUAAUCGUUUGAGAGAAGGGAUGACACAGUAGGAUAAGCUGAGCACACUGUUGGUUAAGUGUGUCUAAGCGUUGAGGCAGACUAGAUAGGCAAAUCCGUUUAGUUAAUGCUGGGGCGCGAUGGGGAGCGAAACUAAGUAGCGAAGCAGCUGAUUUCACACUGUCGAGAAAAGUCUCUAUCGAGAUUAAAGGUACCCGUACCGCAAACCGACACAGGUGGGUGAGGAGAGUAUCCUAAGGCCAGCGAGAGAACUGUUGUUAAGGAACUCGGCAAAAUGACCCCGUAACUUAGGGAUAAGGGGUGCCCCAGCAAUGGGGCCGCAGAGAAUUGGCCCAAGCGACUGUUUACCAAAAACAUAGGUUUCUGCUAAGUCGCAAGACGAUGUAUAGGAGCUGACGCCUGCCCGGUGCUGGAAGGUUAAGGGGAUCUGUUAGAGCAAUCGAAGCAGUGAUCUUAAGCCCCAGUAAACGGCGGCCGUAACUAUAACGGUCCUAAGGUAGCGAAAUUCCUUGUCGGGUAAGUUCCGACCCGCACGAAAGGCGUAACGAUUUGGGCACUGUCUCAACAACAGACUCGGUGAAAUUGUAAUCCCGGUGAAGAUGCCGGGUACCUGCGACAGGACGGAAAGACCCCAUGGAGCUUUACUGUAGCUUGACAUUGGGUUUCGAUACUACAUGUACAGGAUAGGUGGGAGACUAUGAAAUCAGGGCGUCAGUUUUGAUGGAGUCAUCCUUGGGAUACCACCCUUGUAGUAUUGGGACUCUAACCAUAGGCCAUGAAUCUGGUCUUGGGACACUGUCUGGUGGGCAGUUUGACUGGGGCGGUCGCCUCCCAAAAGGUAACGGAGGCGCUCAAA
RNAcentral lists this ribosomal RNA (2294 nucleotides) under human metagenome. Its description in RNAcentral is "bacterial LSU rRNA". It matches the Rfam family "Bacterial large subunit ribosomal RNA", at positions 3 to 2314 of the family's 2925-position model. The record is from RNAcentral.